RNAcentral lists this ribosomal RNA (1372 nucleotides) under Escherichia coli. RNAcentral describes it as "partial 23S ribosomal RNA". It matches the Rfam family "Bacterial large subunit ribosomal RNA", at positions 1294 to 2651 of the family's 2925-position model. The record is from RNAcentral. Lineage: Bacteria; Pseudomonadati; Pseudomonadota; Gammaproteobacteria; Enterobacterales; Enterobacteriaceae.
AUGCUGACAUAAGUAACGAUAAAGCGGGUGAAAAGCCCGCUCGCCGGAAGACCAAGGGUUCCUGUCCAACGUUAAUCGGGGCAGGGUGAGUCGACCCCUAAGGCGAGGCCGAAAGGCGUAGUCGAUGGGAAACAGGUUAAUAUUCCUGUACUUGGUGUUACUGCGAAGGGGGGACGGAGAAGGCUAUGUUGGCCGGGCGACGGUUGUCCCGGUUUAAGCGUGUAGGCUGGUUUUCCAGGCAAAUCCGGAAAAUCAAGGCUGAGGCGUGAUGACGAGGCACUACGGUGCUGAAGCAACAAAUGCCCUGCUUCCAGGAAAAGCCUCUAAGCAUCAGGUAACAUCAAAUCGUACCCCAAACCGACACAGGUGGUCAGGUAGAGAAUACCAAGGCGCUUGAGAGAACUCGGGUGAAGGAACUAGGCAAAAUGGUGCCGUAACUUCGGGAGAAGGCACGCUGAUAUGUAGGUGAAGUCCCUCGCGGAUGGAGCUGAAAUCAGUCGAAGAUACCAGCUGGCUGCAACUGUUUAUUAAAAACACAGCACUGUGCAAACACGAAAGUGGACGUAUACGGUGUGACGCCUGCCCGGUGCCGGAAGGUUAAUUGAUGGGGUCAGCGCAAGCGAAGCUCUUGAUCGAAGCCCCGGUAAACGGCGGCCGUAACUAUAACGGUCCUAAGGUAGCGAAAUUCCUUGUCGGGUAAGUUCCGACCUGCACGAAUGGCGUAAUGAUGGCCAGGCUGUCUCCACCCGAGACUCAGUGAAAUUGAACUCGCUGUGAAGAUGCAGUGUACCCGCGGCAAGACGGAAAGACCCCGUGAACCUUUACUAUAGCUUGACACUGAACAUUGAGCCUUGAUGUGUAGGAUAGGUGGGAGGCUUAGAAGUGUGGACGCCAGUCUGCAUGGAGCCGACCUUGAAAUACCACCCUUUAAUGUUUGAUGUUCUAACGUUGACCCGUAAUCCGGGUUGCGGACAGUGUCUGGUGGGUAGUUUGACUGGGGCGGUCUCCUCCUAAAGAGUAACGGAGGAGCACGAAGGUUGGCUAAUCCUGGUCGGACAUCAGGAGGUUAGUGCAAUGGCAUAAGCCAGCUUGACUGCGAGCGUGACGGCGCGAGCAGGUGCGAAAGCAGGUCAUAGUGAUCCGGUGGUUCUGAAUGGAAGGGCCAUCGCUCAACGGAUAAAAGGUACUCCGGGGAUAACAGGCUGAUACCGCCCAAGAGUUCAUAUCGACGGCGGUGUUUGGCACCUCGAUGUCGGCUCAUCACAUCCUGGGGCUGAAGUAGGUCCCAAGGGUAUGGCUGUUCGCCAUUUAAAGUGGUACGCGAGCUGGGUUUAGAACGUCGUGAGACAGUUCGGUCCCUAUCUGCCGUGGG